RNAcentral lists this ribosomal RNA (147 nucleotides) under Ochrophyta sp. RNAcentral's name for it is "partial small subunit ribosomal RNA". It matches the Rfam family "Eukaryotic small subunit ribosomal RNA", at positions 1296 to 1460 of the family's 1831-position model. The record is from RNAcentral.
AGUUGGUGGAGUGAUUUGUCUGGUUAAUUCCGUUAACGAACGAGACCCCUGCCUGCUAAAUAGCCUAGCAAAUGAGUUUUCAUUCGCCGGGGCUUCUUAGAGGGACGUGCAUUCUAUUAGAUGCAGGAAGAUAGGGGCAAUAACAGG